RNAcentral lists this ribosomal RNA (507 nucleotides) under Triticum aestivum (bread wheat). RNAcentral's name for it is "partial small subunit ribosomal RNA". Lineage: Eukaryota; Viridiplantae; Streptophyta; Magnoliopsida; Poales; Poaceae. The record is from RNAcentral.
AUGGUUUAUGGAAAAACAUGUCACUUACCUCUCGAACUAGAACACAAGGCAUAUUGGGCCAUUAAAGAACUCAAUUAUGAUUUUAAACUUGCCGGUGAGAAGAGGCAAUUUGAUAUUAGCUCACUUGAUGAAUGGAGAACCCAAGCCUAUGAAAAUGCCAAGUUGUUUAAAGAAAAAGUUAAAAGAUGGCAUGACAAAAGGAUACAAAAGCGUGAGUUUAAUGUAGGUGAUUAUGUAUUGCUAUACAACUCGCAUUUAAGAUUUUUUGCAGGAAAACUUCUCUCUAAAUGGGAAGGCCCUUACGUUAAUGAAGAGGUCUACCGUUCCGGUGCCAUAAAAAUCAACAACUUCGAAGGCACAAAUCCGAAGGUGGUGAACGGUCAAAGAAUCAAACAUUAUAUCUCAGGUAAUCCCAUAAAUGUUGAAACCAAUGUUAUUGAAACCGUAACCCCGGAGGAAUACAUAAGGGACACUUUCCGGAACGUUUCAGACUCCGAAAAGGAAUAG